Molecule: non-coding RNA, 47 nt
Organism: Xenopus tropicalis (tropical clawed frog)
Lineage: Eukaryota; Metazoa; Chordata; Amphibia; Anura; Pipidae
Source: Rfam
CCAAAGGCUCUUCUCAGAGCCCCCACUCACUCACUCACUCACUCACU